RNAcentral lists this long non-coding RNA (247 nucleotides) under Elaeis guineensis (African oil palm). Its description in RNAcentral is "long non-coding RNA (EGUI_LNC006590)". The record is from RNAcentral. Lineage: Eukaryota; Viridiplantae; Streptophyta; Magnoliopsida; Arecales; Arecaceae.
CUUCUUCUUCUUCUUCUGACUUUUGCCUUCUGUCUAGCGCCAGUCAGAAGCUCCUUCGUCUGCGCACAUAUAUUUGUAUGCAUGCUCCAGAAGUUCGGCAUAAAUUCGAGGGAGAGUUUUAUCCAAAAAAUAUAUGAAUCAAGAUCCCCUCAGACCUCUUUUUAUGAUCGAAAUAGCCAUGUUUUCAUUGAGAUCUUUGACCUCAAGCAUAGCCACAUUAAAAUGAGUCACAAAAUCCCGAAGUGUU